UAGUUUUGGAAAUCUCUGAAUAAGACUUUU
RNAcentral lists this non-coding RNA (30 nucleotides) under Rattus norvegicus (Norway rat). The record is from RNAcentral. Lineage: Eukaryota; Metazoa; Chordata; Mammalia; Rodentia; Muridae.